This 492-nucleotide ribosomal RNA is filed under the name uncultured bacterium. RNAcentral describes it as "partial 16S ribosomal RNA". It matches the Rfam family "Bacterial small subunit ribosomal RNA", at positions 29 to 507 of the family's 1533-position model. The record is from RNAcentral.
AGUGAACGCUGGCGGUAGGCCUAACACAUGCCAGUCGAACGGCAGCACAGUAAGAGCUUGCUCUUACGGGUGGCGAGUGGCGGACGGGUGAGGAAUACAUCGGAAUCUACUUUUUCGUGGGGGAUAACGUAGGGAAACUUACGCUAAUACCGCAUACGACCUACGGGUGAAAGCAGGGGAUCUUCGGACCUUGCGCGAUUGAAUGAGCCGAUGUCGGAUUAGCUAGUUGGCGGGGUAAGGGCCCACCAAGGCGACGAUCCGUAGCUGGCCUGAGAGGAUGAUCAGCCACACUGGAACUGAGACACGGUCCAGACUCCUACGGGAGGCAGCAGUGGGGAAUAUUGGACAAUGGGCGCAAGCCUGAUCCAGCCAUACCGCGUGGGUGAAGAAGGCCUUCGGGUUGUAAAGCCCUUUUGUUGGGAAAGAAAAGCAGCAGGUUAAUACCCCGCUGUUCUGACGGUACCCAAAGAAUAAGCACCGGCUAACUUCGUG